UACGUAGGGUGCGAGCGUUGCCCGGAUUUAUUGGGCGUAAAGGGCGCGUAGGCGGCCACGCACGUCCGUUGUGAAAUCGCCCGGCUCAACUGGGCGGGGUCAGCGGAUACGGUGUGGCUCGAGCAAGCUAGGGGGCAAUGGAAUUCCCGGUGUAGUGGUGGAAUGCGUAGAUAUCGGGAGGAACACCAGUGGCGAAGGCGGUUGCCUGGAGCUGUGCUGACGCUGAUGCGCGAAAGCGUGGGGAGCGAUCCGG
This 253-nucleotide ribosomal RNA is filed under the name uncultured bacterium. RNAcentral describes it as "partial 16S ribosomal RNA". It matches the Rfam family "Bacterial small subunit ribosomal RNA", at positions 524 to 776 of the family's 1533-position model. The record is from RNAcentral.